Molecule: ribosomal RNA, 250 nt
Filed under: uncultured bacterium
Lineage: Bacteria
Description: partial 16S ribosomal RNA
Rfam family: Bacterial small subunit ribosomal RNA
Source: RNAcentral
UACAGAGGUCCCAAGCGUUGUUCGGAUUCACUGGGCGUAAAGGGUGCGUAGGUGGCCAGGUAAGUUUGGUGUGAAAGCUCGGAGCUCAACUCCGAAACGUCAUUGAAUACUACUUGGCUUGAGGGUCGGAGGGGAGACUGGAAUUCUCGGUGUAGCAGUGAAAUGCGUAGAUAUCGAGAGGAACACCAGUGGCGAAGGCGAGUCUCUGGACGACCCCUGACACUGAGGCACGAAAGCUAGGGGAGCAAAC